UGUCUUCACAAUAGUGAGCUCUCAUGAUAUUUGGUCAUUUAAAAGUGUGUAGCACUUCCCCCUUCACGUUCUCUUGCUCCUGCUCUGGCCAUGUGACAUGCCUAUUCCCUCUUCACCUUCUGGCAUGACUGUUAAGUUUCCUGUGGCCUCCCUGGAAGCUGAGCAGAUUCCAUCAUCAUGCUUCCUGUACAGUCUGCAGAACCAUGAGCCAAUUAAGCCUCUUUUCUUUAUAAAUUACCCAGUCUGAGGUACUUCUUUAUAGCACUGCAAGAAUGGACUAAUACGCUAUGUGAAGACAAAGGGGAUGUCUGCAAGCCAGGACGAGUGCGUCUACCAGAAACUGAGUUCUGCUGGACUUUGAUCUAGGACAUCCAGCCUCCAGAAUGGAAUGUGCCAUAUGUGGAGACCUGCAUGGAAAGGAACUGAGGAUGCUCUCUCACUAAAAGCUAGAAGGAACUGAGGCCCUCAGUCAACAGUCUACAAGACACUGAAUCUUGCCAGCAGCCAAGCAGUGAGCUUGAAAGCAGAUCUAUCAUCAGCUGAACCUUCAGAUGAGACCGCAGCCUAAGCAGAUACCUUGGUUGCAGCCAUGUGAGACAACCUGAAACAGAGGGCACAGCUAAGCCUCAGCCAGGUUCAUGACCCUCUGAGGAAACUGUGAGAAAGCAAAUGUCAUUUUAAGCUAUUUAAUUUUGGAGGUAGUUUAUUACACAACAAUAAAUAACUAUUAUAAUUAUCUUGAGGAUUUAUUUCCUGGGGAGAAUACAUGGAAUUGCAUAUAUAGGUCCUCAUAUGCAGAAUACUGGUACCCUAGAGAUGUUCACCCCAGAGAUGUUUUAGGAACCUGUGAAUAUGUUACAUUAAAUGGCAAAGUUUUCCUGGAUGGUUUAAGUUUAAGAUGGAAAAGUUUUACUGGAUUAUCCAGUGGGUCCAAUCUAGUAACAUGAGUCCUUAAAAAUGGAGAAUAUUUUUUGGCCAUGAUCAGAGAGACAUGUGAUGAUGGAAAAAGUGUCAGAGAUGCAAUGUGAGGGGACUAAAACUGCUGUUGCUGACUUUAAAGAUGGAGAGAGGGGAACCCGAGUCAAGGAAUGCAAAUGGCCUCUGGAAGCUGGAAAAAGCAAGAAAUGGAUUCUCCUUUAGAGCCUGUGGAAUAAAAUGCAGUCAUGCUGACACCUUGAUUUUACCUCAGUGAGACCAAUACUGGAGUAUGACCUUCGGAGCUGAAUAAAAUUAUACGUACACAUCUUAAUUUCUUGGGAUUUGAUUACUUCUUCUGCUUUGAAAUUAGACCAAGUUUAGCCUGCCUUUGCUAUUUUGGCGUAUCUCCAAUUCUUCAUGAUUUUCUCAUUGUUGCCUCCAUAUGAUGCAAAAUAUCCAACCUAGCCCUGACAUGAAAACUUAAUUGAAAGUAUCCAACAGUGGCGCAAAGGCCACAUAAGGACAGUGAGAAGGCAGCCACCUGCAAGCCAGGAAGAAAGGUCUCACCAGAUACCAACCCUGCCAGCAUGUUGAUCUUGGACUUCCAGCCUCCAAAACUGGCCUUCUGCUCACAUGGGCUUCCGUGCACCUGCUUCAGGAGACAGCAACACUUGCGCCCGCACCGCGGCAGGCUCCCAUCACCUGGUGGAUAUGCCGCGCCGAGUCUCAUCACACCUUAGUGAAGGAACACAUGGACCCAUAUGUUAGCGGAUGUAUUUACAUCGUUUUAUACAGAAAGGGGAAGCAAAGAGUUCUAAGAUGCAUUUCACAGCACUCCACAGAAGGAAGGUUCAGAGCCAAUCAUCUGCACCAGUGCCCAACUUAAAAACAUCCUUGUAUCAGUUUUCCCUUAUUUCCUGUUCUCCUCCCUAAACCUUCAGUCCUGUUCCUGGCAAUCACUUCCAGAAUAAACCAUAUACAUGCCUCAGAUUCUGAUCUCAGAGGAUCCCAGACUAAUACAGAGAUACACUAUGCUGAUUGCUUAACCCGCAUUUUCUCAUUUAAUUGAAACAUAUACGUGGUAAGGUAUUUAUUCAUACCUGCAUGAUUUUGUAGAUAAACCUUAGAGAAAUUAAUACUUUUCAGAAGGCAAUUAAAGUAACACAGCAAGCAAUUGAUAAAACCUGGAUUCGCCAAGUUAAACUGGUCUGGUUUCAAAACCUGUAUUGUUUCCUAACAUACCACCUAAAUUCUCAAAUGGUAUUGGAAGGGGUUAAAUGAGAUUAUAAAUGUAAAAUUCUUGGUAUAGUUAAUUCUCAAAAAUAGGCCUUCAAUCUAUAGAAUCCAUUUGUAGAACUAUCUUCAGGAAGGAAAAAUACAUCACCCUCCACCCCACCCUCAAAGAAACAUGGAAAAUUUAAACUAAGACUUCAAAUCUUGAGCUCUGCACAUCUUAGAAUAUUUUGUUUCUAUGAAAAAGAAGCUUUGGAGAAUGUGUAUCAGUCUGAAACACUGUAGUGUGAGCACAGAAAUCAGCCCAUCACAUUAUGCCCCAAAUGCUGAAGUACGGCUGAAUCUGAUUGCCCUGCAUUUUUAAGUACUGCAAAAUUCUGGGACUUGGGAUCAUCUGUUACUACAGACUUGUCAUAUUCCACUGAAAUAAAACAUAUAGUCUAAUUUGCAAAGUUCUCGUGUGGAAAGAGUCCUAAAAUGUAUAUAACCUCUGUCCCAGCAAUUCCAUUAGGAAUUUAUCCAAUCCAAAAUCUAAAAUGCAGAAGAUCUACAUAUUGAAUGCUUAUGGCAGCAUUCUUUAAAAUUAUGAAAAUUGAAAGCAACCAAAAUCCUCAAAAACAGACUAAUGGCUAAGUAGUAUAACCAUACUAUGAAAUGUGGUAAUUGAAUAUUCAAAUUUGUGUUGUAUAAAAAAUUAAUAAUGGUAUAACAUUUGGCUAUAAAAUAGAAUGAAUUCAAUUGUAUUUUUUAAACCAGUACAUCUGCAUAUUUGUGAACCUAAAAGAUAAGACGGUAAAUAUUUAACUGUAUUUUUCUUUAAUUGUUGGGGCUGUGAAUUAUUUUAAUUUUCUUAAUGCUUUUUAAUCUUCUCUGAAAAUUUUAUAAUAAUCUCUAAUAAUAAUUUAUAGCAAAAAAACCCAAAAUUUUAAAGGGUAUUCUUUUUGUAUUUUUAUCAAGAAUAAAAAUAUAUAUCAAU
RNAcentral lists this long non-coding RNA (3127 nucleotides) under Homo sapiens (human). Its description in RNAcentral is "HSALNT0007814". The record is from RNAcentral. Lineage: Eukaryota; Metazoa; Chordata; Mammalia; Primates; Hominidae.